CAGGUCUUGACAUCCCUUUGACCGGUCUAGAGAUAGGCCUUUCCUUCGGGACAAAGGAGACAGGUGGUGCAUGGUUGUCGUCAGCUCGUGUCGUGAGAUGUUGGGUUAAGUCCCGCAACGAGCGCAACCCUUAUGCUUAGUUGCCAGCAGGUCAAGCUGGGCACUCUAAGCAGACUGCCGGUGACAAACCGGAGGAAGGUGGGGAUGACGUCAAAUCAUCAUGCCCCUUAUGACCUGGGCUACACACGUACUACAAUGGCCGGUACAACGGGAAGCGAAAUCGCGAGGUGGAGCCAAUCCUAGAAAAGCCGGUCUCAGUUCGGAUUGUAGGCUGCAACUCGCCUACA
This 347-nucleotide ribosomal RNA is filed under the name Paenibacillus polymyxa. Its description in RNAcentral is "bacterial SSU rRNA". It matches the Rfam family "Bacterial small subunit ribosomal RNA", at positions 975 to 1320 of the family's 1533-position model. Lineage: Bacteria; Bacillati; Bacillota; Bacilli; Caryophanales; Paenibacillaceae. The record is from RNAcentral.